UGGUAUAAUUAUGUCAACUACUCAACUAGAAUUCUAAGCUUCUUGGAGAAGGUACAGCAAAGUCUGGCAGAGUAUUUUGCAGGGAGCUUAGUAAUAAGAGCUAACACUUAGGGGCCCCUGGGUGGCUCAGUCAGUGAAGUGUCUGCCUUCGGCUUGGGUCAUGAUCUCAGAGUCCUGGGAUUGAGGUCCAUGUCCAGCUCUCUGCUCAGCAAGGAGUCUGCUUCUCCCUCUCCCUCUAUGCCUAUACUCUCCCUCUCCCAAAUAAAUAAAAACCAUUUAAAAAACCCUAACAUAAAAAAAAAAAAAACCUAACAUUUAUGGAACAUAUACUGUGUACUAGAUAAAAUGCUAAGUGCUUGCCACAUACUAGUUCAUUUAAUCCACAGUUACUGUGCCUAAUUCCAGAUGACAAAAUGGAAACUUAAAAAAGUGAUUUACCUAUCCAAGUAACAAAACUAGUAAAUGCCAGAUCUAGGACCUAAGUUCAAGUUUGUGUAAUUCUCAAGCUGUGGUUUUGGUUUGGUUUUUUUUUUUUUUUUUAAGAUUUUAUUUAUUCAUGAGACACACAGAGAGACAGAGAUAGAGAGGCAGAGACACAGGCAGAGGGAGAAACAGGCUCCAUGCAGGGAGCCCAAUGCAGGACUCGAUCCUGGGUAUCCACUGAACCACCCAGGCUGCCCUAGAGCUGUGUUUUUGUUAGUGACUCAUACAAGCAGAUCCUCUUGUCCUACUUGAUCCAUAGAGCCCAGGACACAGCUUGGGCUUCAAAGGUAUGAAAAGAGGGAAAAUUGUGGCUCAGCAACUUUUCUUUCUCCCAUUGAUACAAAGCUUUUAUACAAUGACCUUUGCCUGAAAACCAGAGAUAAGCUCUAACCAAAGGAUUCCAAAUUCCACCCAUGGGUAAGAGCCAGUCCCACUUCAGGGUGUUCUAUAACAUCCUGCCUUGGAAAAUAAAUGAAUCAUCAAAAGAACUGAUUUUAGUUUUCAAGGAUUUCAAGAGCAAGAGUGGUCCAGGCCUAAAAGUGAUGGAGAAAACUUUUCUUUGCCAUAAUCUGCUUUAACAGCCAGUAAUUUAUAGGUGCUGUACAAGUUAAUGAUCAGAGGAUCAUCAGAACAAAAGGAAGGGCAAUGGUCAGUAGUCUACCCAGGUAGCCCUUGGGUCCUAGUAUUUGAAACCAAGUGGUGUUUGUGUAAUACCAGUGCCUUACAUUCACAGAGAGGAUUCAACUUUACCAAAUUCUUCCACCUUUAUUAUCUCACUUGAUGUUAACAGUCCUGUGCAGUGGAUAGACAGCAUAGGGUCCUCACAUUCACUUCUGCAGGUUAUGCAAUACACCAAAAGGCUAGCUUAUAAGGCUACUGGAGAAUAAAAUCUAGUAAGUGUUCUGCUCACCCAAUUCAUGAGCCCUAAGGUAGAGCUUCAUCUACUUGGAAAAAGAGUACCUUUUCCUAAUUUCCACAAAGGGAUUGUAUGAACAGGUAACAGUCUAAAAGAUAACCACUGGGAUCCACACUUCAAAGAUGUGGAUGUCAAUUAUACCAAAAUAAAGCUAGAAAAAAAUAAAGAUGUAGAAACCCAGGCUCAAAGAUGUUUCAAAAUAUAGUUAAUAAGUAGUGGAUCUAAGAUUAGAAUUCAAGUCUUCCAACUCAUUCAGAAACACACUUUUUCAACUGUACUACAAGUCUCCCAUUGGUUCAGUUUAAUACAGGCUAUCUCUGUCUUCUCAUGUGGUAGACGAGUAUCUUCAGCACUUUGCUACAAACAACUGAACCAAAAUCUAGAGCUUUUUGGUGUAGCUCUAUCCUGAGGCCAUAACUGUUCUCUUAUUGAGGAAACUGAGAAUCAGAUAUGUGUGCCAACUGUACCAAGAGGGAUACUUUAUUUUUCUUUAAGAUUUUAUUUAUUUUUUCAUGAGAGACCCAAAGAAAGAGAAAGAGAGAGGCAGAGACACAGGCAGAGGGAGAAGCAGGCUCCAUGCAGGGAGCCCGACGUGGGACUCGAUCCCGGGCCUCCAGGGUCAGGCCCUGGGCUGAAGGUGGCGCUAAACCACUGAGCCACCCGGGCUGCCCCAAGGGGGAUACUUUAUUUUAUUUUAUUUUAUUUUUUUUAAGAGGGAUACUUUAAAUGGCUUUCCUAUUACUUUUGGAAAAAAAAUUUGGACCACCUGCCCUAAUGUUAAUGGAUCAUACAUCAUCACAGUGACAGGAAAUCAACAUUAUUAAUAUUAUGGGAGGUGGUAUGUGGAAAGGAUAUUAGAUAUGAAAUCUAAUUAUCUAAAUUCAGAUACCAGCAUUACCACUUGUUAGCUUCCUGGCCCUGGGAGAUAACAAAAACAAAGAUUAAGCACAUACUAUUUGCUUUGGCAUAUAUUUUGUUUACAUGAUGAAUAAUUGCACACAACCCUAAGAUGUUAUGUAC
RNAcentral lists this long non-coding RNA (2419 nucleotides) under Canis lupus familiaris (dog). RNAcentral describes it as "lncRNA (ENSCAFG00000053483.1, ENSCAFG00845029995.1)". The record is from RNAcentral. Lineage: Eukaryota; Metazoa; Chordata; Mammalia; Carnivora; Canidae.